UGAACUGAACUGCUACAGAAAUGCAUGUACUGUUGUAUGUGUGUAUUUGUGUUCAGUUCCCGGUUGGAGAGGGUUUCAAUCUGCUGCUGUAUCCGUUAUCUGUGAUGGGGCCGUAUGGAUCUCACACCGUUCUGAUACCAGCGACCGGGACAGAGCAGAACACACAGCGCAGCCAAACUCCACAGGCAAACAGCAGCAAGUCAGACUCGGGCAGUUCAGAGGAAGAAGCCGCUGCUCAGGUGAUCUAUAUGGUUCCCAUCAGCGUGGGUUCACCCAGCAUGGGUGUGAUGGAGGGCACGGGGCCCAAUCCUGGCCCUGGACCCCUGCAGUUCAUGGGCAGCACCACUCCUGCUGCGGCGCAGCUGGACGCUCGGGGACAGCGGGCACAGACAGAGACGCUCGCUCCAGGAGUCCUCUGACCACAGGACAACACUCGCUGAUUCACUGAUGCCAGUCUUUAAGGCGGAUGAAGUGUUGAGUUAACCUGAACGCUGCAGGAUUAAUGGGUUUAUGGUGAUUAGUGGAGAAAGCUGACUGGGCACAUUAUCAGACAGAUAAUCUCUCAACCUGCUGCACUCAAGGUGAACAUUGCAAAAUAACACAUACUAACACACUAAACACAUAUGAUGAGAGCUAGAUCAAGACAAACGGAGAACACUGAUGUUUCACUGUAAAUUUGUGUGUGGCAGAGCGAAUGCAA
RNAcentral lists this long non-coding RNA (700 nucleotides) under Carassius auratus (goldfish). Its description in RNAcentral is "lncRNA (ENSCARG00000011006.1)". Lineage: Eukaryota; Metazoa; Chordata; Actinopteri; Cypriniformes; Cyprinidae. The record is from RNAcentral.